UUGGGUAUAAAAUGUUCUUAGUGAUCCAUUAGCCUUCAUUAAUUAGCCUAGACGUCUACAGUCACCUAAUUUUUCGUCCUCAAAACAGUUAUUAAUUUAAGAAGGAGUUAAAAGUGUAACGAAAUAAGAGGGCAUGUAGGCUAUUCAUUUUGAGCUGAGAGGUCUUCCAUCUUCCAACAAAGGUUUUGGUUAUCUCUCCGCUGCUCGUGUUCCUAUUGUGCAUCCUCCCCUCCCACGCUCAGGACGAGUACUCUGGUUACCACUCAGGUGAAGAACACACCUAUGAGGGCUCAUUGGUCGACAACUAUGAGCAUUCAGGAUACCCACAACCAGAGGAAUACCCACCGGAGCCCACUCACAGCUAUGAGGAGCAGCAACCCUCAUCUGGAUAUGACCCCUAUGCACCAGCCCCCACCAGUGUGAGCAUGAUCACAGAGGACUCCUACCCCUACACCACCACCACACAGGUACCAUACGAGCAGGAGCCCUACGAAGAGUCGCUCCAGGCCCCUGGUGGUGGGGAGGCUUCUCUGGGGGAGGAGGGGCCAACAGACUGUAACUGUGAGCCUGGAGAGCCAGGGUUCGCUGGGUUUGCAGGG
Molecule: long non-coding RNA, 599 nt
Organism: Oncorhynchus masou masou (cherry salmon)
Lineage: Eukaryota; Metazoa; Chordata; Actinopteri; Salmoniformes; Salmonidae
Exons: 5
Source: RefSeq, a predicted model, not a curated record